UCCCUACGGGAGGCAGCAGUGGGGAAUAUUGCACAAUGGGCGCAAGCCUGAUGCAGCAACGCCGCGUGAGGGACGACGGCCUUCGGGUUGUAAACCUCUUUUAGCAGGGAAGAAGCGAAAGUGACGGUACCUGCAGAAAAAGCGCCGGCUAACUACGUGCCAGCAGCCGCGGUAAUACGUAGGGCGCAAGCGUUAUCCGGAAUUAUUGGGCGUAAAGAGCUCGUAGGCGGUUUGUCGCGUCUGCUGUGAAAUGCCGAGGCUCAACCUCGGGUCUGCAGUGGGUACGGGCAGACUAGAGUGCGGGAGGGGAGAUGGGAAUUCCUGGUGGAGCGGUGGAAUGCGCAGAUAUCAGGAGGAACACCGAUGGCGAAGGCAGAUCUCUGGGCCGUAACUGACGCUGAGGAGCGAAAGGGUGGGGAGCAAACAGGAUUAGACCCCAGUAGUCA
This 446-nucleotide ribosomal RNA is filed under the name uncultured Microbacterium sp. RNAcentral's name for it is "bacterial SSU rRNA". It matches the Rfam family "Bacterial small subunit ribosomal RNA", at positions 335 to 796 of the family's 1533-position model. Lineage: Bacteria; Bacillati; Actinomycetota; Actinomycetes; Micrococcales; Microbacteriaceae. The record is from RNAcentral.